CAGCAGCCGCGGAAAUACCGAGGGUGCGAGCGUUAAUCGGAUUUACUGGGCGUAAAGCGUGCGUAGGCGGCUUCUUAAGUCGGAUGUGAAAUCCCUGAGCUUAACUUAGGAAUUGCAUUCGAUACUGGGAAGCUAGAGUAUGGGAGAGGAUGGUAGAAUUCCAGGUGUAGCGGUGAAAUGCGUAGAGAUCUGGAGGAAUACCGAUGGCGAAGGCAGCCAUCUGGCCUAAUACUGACGCUGAGGUACGAAAGCAUGGGGAGCAAACAGGAUUAGAUACCCGCGUAGUCCCUGUCUCUUAUAC
Molecule: ribosomal RNA, 301 nt
Filed under: uncultured bacterium
Lineage: Bacteria
Description: partial 16S ribosomal RNA
Rfam family: Bacterial small subunit ribosomal RNA
Source: RNAcentral